RNAcentral lists this ribosomal RNA (711 nucleotides) under Aneurinibacillus sp. TUTNFM2A1. RNAcentral describes it as "bacterial SSU rRNA". It matches the Rfam family "Bacterial small subunit ribosomal RNA", at positions 79 to 792 of the family's 1533-position model. The record is from RNAcentral. Lineage: Bacteria; Bacillati; Bacillota; Bacilli; Caryophanales; Paenibacillaceae.
CUUGCUCUUCUGAUGUUAACGGCGGACGGGUGAGUAACACGUAGGCUACCUGCCCGACAGACUGGGAUAACUCCGUGGAAACCGGAUGCUAAUACCAGAUACGCAUUGAAGGGGCAUCACUUCACUGAGAAAGACCAUGCGUCACUGUCGGAUGGGCCUGCGGCGCAUUACCUAGUUGGUGAGGUAACAGCUCACCAACGCGACGAUGCGUACCCAACCUGAGACGGUGAUCGGCCACACUGGGACUGAGACACAGCCCAGACUCCUACGGCAGGCAUCAUUAGGGAAUCUUCCGCAAUGGACGAAAGUCUGACGGAUCAACGCCUCGUGAACGAUGAAAGUUUUCGGAUCGUAAAGUUCUGUUGGUAGGGAAUAACCGCCGGGAUGACCUCCCGGUCUGACGGUACCUACCGAGAAAGCCCCGACUAACUACGUGCCAACAGCCGCGAUAAUACGUCUGGGGUAAGCGUUGUACGGAAUUAUUGCGCGUAAAGAGCGCGCAUUCAGCUUUCUAAUUCAGGUGUGAAAGCCCACGGCUCAACCGUGGAGGGCCAACUUGAACUGUCAGAGUUGACUGCAGGACAGGAGACGGGAAUUCCACGUGUAGCGGUGAAAUGCGUAGAGAUGUGCAGGAAACCCCGUGGCGAAGGCCGAUCUCUGGCCUGUACUGCACUCAGCACGAAGCUGCGGACGAAAGGAUUAAUCCCUGUA